GAUGAACGCUGGCGGCGUGCUUAACACAUGCAAGUCGAACGGUGAACACGGAGCUUGCUCUGUGGGAUCAGUGGCGAACGGGUGAGUAACACGUGAGCAACCUGCCCCUGACUCUGGGAUAAGCGCUGGAAACGGCGUCUAAUACUGGAUAUGUGACGUGACCGCAUGGUCUGCGUUUGGAAAGAUUUUUCGGUUGGGGAUGGGCUCGCGGCCUAUCAGCUUGUUGGUGAGGUAAUGGCUCACCAAGGCGUCGACGGGUAGCCGGCCUGAUAGGGUGACCGGCCACACUGGGACUGAGACACGGCCCAGACUCCUACGGGAGGCAGCAGUGGGGAAUAUUGCACAAUGGACGCAAGCCUGAUGCAGCAACGCCGCGUGAGGGAUGACGGCCUUCGGGUUGUAAACCUCUUUUAGCAGGGAAGAAGCGAAAGUGACGGUACCUGCAGAAAAAGCGCCGGCUAACUACGUG
This 469-nucleotide ribosomal RNA is filed under the name uncultured bacterium. RNAcentral's name for it is "partial 16S ribosomal RNA". It matches the Rfam family "Bacterial small subunit ribosomal RNA", at positions 28 to 507 of the family's 1533-position model. The record is from RNAcentral.